This is an RNA transcript of Pseudophryne corroboree (corroboree frog), 1991 nucleotides long. It is a transcript of the gene named LUC7 like 3 pre-mRNA splicing factor, with no coding region annotated. NCBI's taxonomy places the organism in Eukaryota, Metazoa, Chordata, Amphibia, Anura, Myobatrachidae. The transcript has 12 exons. The record is from RefSeq and is a predicted model, not a curated record.
GCCCGUGGUUGUGAGCGCUGCCGUGCGGUGCACGCUGGGAGUAACGCUCGACGCGUAGCCAUCUUGUUGGUGUGGGUGGGCAACGCGGAGAGACCCCGGGAGCGGCGGACUCAAUACACGUCGGUGCCAUGUUAUCCGCCGCGCAGCUACUAGAUGAGCUGAUGGGCCGGGACCGGAACCUGGCCCCGGAUGAGAAGAGGUGCAACGUGCGCUGGGAUGAUGAGAGUGUGUGCAAGCAUUAUCUGUGUGAGUUUUGUCCGGCUGAGCUGUUUACAAACACUCGAUCAGAUUUGGGUCCAUGUGAAAAAAUCCACGACGAGAACCUCCGUAAGCAGUAUGAGAAGAGCUCUCGCCACAUGAAAGUUGGCUAUGAACGUGAAUUCUUGCGGUACUUACAGAGCUUGCUUGCAGAGGUUGAACGGAGGAUUCGGAGGGGCCAUGCUCGCUUGGCACUAUCUCAGAAUCAGCAAGCAGCAGGAGCUGUUGGGCCAGCUGGAAAGAAUGAGGAGAAAAUACAGGUGUUGACAGACAAAAUUGAAGCACUGUUGCUGCAGAUAGAAGAGCUGGGUUCGGAAGGCAAGGUGGAGGAGGCGCAAGGGAUGAUGAAACUUGUUGAACAGUUAAAAGAAGAGCGAGAACUUCUAAAAUCUUCCACAUCAACAAUUGAAAGCUUUGCCGCUCAGGAGAAGCAGAUGGAGGUGUGUGAAGUCUGUGGUGCCUUUUUAAUUGUUGGAGAUGCUCAAUCCCGUGUAGAUGAUCAUCUUAUGGGUAAACAACAUAUGGGCUAUGCCAAAAUAAAGAACACUGUGGAAGAAUUAAAGGAAAAACUGAGGAAAAAAACAGAUGAGCCUGAACGUGAUGAUCGGUUAAAGAAAGAGAAAGAGGAAAAAGAACGUGAGAAAGAGAAGGAAAAGGAGCGAGAGGAAAAGGAAAAAAAAAGACGCAAAGAGGAGGAAGAGCAGCAGCAACGGGAGAAAGAAAAGAACAGAGAGAAGGAGAAGCGCAAAAGAAGUCGUUCACGUAGCCAAAACUCCACCAGACCGUCAGACAGGCGUGGCAGCCGGUCACGGGACCAUAAGAGGUCAAGGAGCCGAGACAAGAGAAGAAGCAGGAGCAGAGAGCGCCAACGAAGCCGCAGUCACAAUCGCACAGAACGGAAGCAUCGAUCACGCAGCAGAGACAAGCGUAGGUCUAAGAGCAGAGAACGUAAAUCCUACAAACACAGAAGCAGAAGCCGUGAGCGAGAACGUGAGAGGAGAUCAAAGGAAAAAGAAAAGAGGACUUCUGACGACAGAAAAAGUAGCAAGUCCAGCAGUCGAGAUGUACAGAGUGAAUCUCGCAAAUCUGACUCCAAGGAAUUUUCUUCACCGACCUCAGUGAAUGGGGCCAAUGAAGGCAUAAAAUCUGAAGGUGACACUCAGUCCAAUUAAAACUGAUCUGAUUUGACCUCUGAUCAGUCAGAGCGUUGGUGUUGUAAGCGGGCCCCUGAAAAUGCCAAAUUAAAAAUCAAGGAUUCAGUCAUACUAAUCAGAACUGCGUACAGAAGAUCAAGAGCUCCACAAGAUGUCUUAAUUGAAGAUCUACUUUAUAUGAGGUGACAGAAACCUGUAAUGAGAAUUAAAAACUCAGAGUUUGUUCUAAACUAUUAAGUUGAGAACUGAAGUAAUUCUCUAGAAAUUCUUUAGUCCAGUGGCUCUAAUGAAAUGUUAGCCCUGGUAUUUCUGCCAGGAGACACUGAAAAAUAUUUAAAAUGUGCAAGCGAAUAUUAGACACGUGGCUUGCAUAUUUGUUAAGUUAAAAAUAAUAAAAUUUCGGACUUGGAAACACAAAAUAAUUACCUUUUGUGAACCACGUUAUUUUUUUUAUUUUAUUUUUUACAAGUAGAAUUUAGAAUAUCUAUAAAUAAAUGCAUCUUCUAAUUUCUGUUGUAUAUGUGCUUUGUUGUUUGGCUUGGUAUUACCUGCUUUUUCAAAUAAACUUGUUACUGUUUA